UUAAAUUCGAAGAUUGAGAAAAGUAACUUGAAUGAAAAGUAGAUAGCGAGCGCGUGGUAGUGUAAGUCGCGCAUACAACAUCAUCAAGUGAAUGGCCUCAUGAGAAGCAAGGUGAAGAUAGUAGCCUCCGCCGUACGCCCACGUUAUCAGGCAAAAAUAUAAAAGUCUUAAAUGAUGGAGUAUUUUGUGAAGAAGAAAUUCUAAAUUUCUUGAAAUUGGGUGGCACCACGAAGCUAUUCGUCCCAGUA
This is a non-coding RNA of Tenericutes bacterium GWD2_38_27, 248 nucleotides long. NCBI's taxonomy places the organism in Bacteria, Bacillati, Mycoplasmatota. The record is from Rfam.